This 236-nucleotide ribosomal RNA is filed under the name uncultured bacterium. RNAcentral describes it as "partial 16S ribosomal RNA". It matches the Rfam family "Bacterial small subunit ribosomal RNA", at positions 100 to 334 of the family's 1533-position model. The record is from RNAcentral.
CGGCACGGGUGAGUAACACGUAUCCAACCUGCCGUCUACUCUUGGACAGCCUUCUGAAAGGAAGAUUAAUACAAGAUGGCAUCAUGAGUCCACAUGUUCACAUGAUUAAAGGUAUUCCGGUAGACGAUGGGGAUGCGUUCCAUUAGAUAGUAGGCGGGGUAACGGCCCACCUAGUCAACGAUGGAUAGGGGUUCUGAGAGGAAGGUCCCCCACAUUGGAACUGAGACACGGUCCAA